Long non-coding RNA from Pezoporus occidentalis (night parrot), 4006 nucleotides. RefSeq lists it as uncharacterized. Lineage: Eukaryota; Metazoa; Chordata; Aves; Psittaciformes; Psittacidae. The record is from RefSeq and is a predicted model, not a curated record. The transcript has 4 exons.
CAGGGGAAGUUCAGGUUGAAUAUAAGGAAGAAAUUCUGCCCUGUGAGGGUGCUGAGGCGCUGGCACAGGGUGCCCAGAGAAGCUGUGGCUGCCCCAUCCCUGGCAGUGUUCAAGGCCAGGUUGGACACAGGGGCUUGGAGCAACCUGGUCUGGUGUGAGGUGUCCCUGCCCAUGGCAGGGGGUUGGAUCUGGAUGAGCUUAAGGUCCUUUCCAACCCAAACCAUUCUGGGAUUCUAUGAAAAACAACUCGGAUGCAGUGUAUCUGUUGGAGGCAUGGCAAUAUCACACCUCUCUUUCAUCAUGGGGUUGCUCACCGAAAGCCUGUAGGGUGGAAAGAAGGCAGGAGGUGUUGAUCAGGAGCUGUGCAAGUGUGCAAGGAAGAAAGAUGUGCAAGGUUUCUUCUCUCUUGUCAGAGCAGACAGCUGCACAGCCUGAGAUAUCAUUUGUUGUAUACCUCCAACUGUUUAGCCUGAUGAGAAGUUGUUCUAUUUGCCUUAGAUAUCGUUAGUCCAGCUGAAGUUCCAAAGCAAAACAUGAGCUAAAUGAGAAAGAUUUACAAUAGGAACUCAUUCCUUUGUUAAGACCAAUGUAUUUAAUUUGUUAGGAAUACACAAGCUCACAUGAGGCUAAUUCGAUGUAUUUGUAAUGUUUUCUUCCCUAUGGACUGGUGGAAAUGACUGGAUGAAGUGUCUGCAAGGAUUAAAUUCUUAGGAUUCCUAUUUUUUUAAUUGAGAACAAAAUAAAAUAAAUGCAUGUUUUAUGUGUGUGCUAUCUGGAAAAAAAAUAAUGCAGAGAGAAAAAGAUGGACAAACAGCAGAAAUAAAUCAAGAUGAUAAAAUGAUCCAUGUUACCAGGCUACCUCCCUCUGCACCCACUGUUUUUCCUAUUAUUCUUAAUGGGCGCACCACUUGAGUGAACACUGCAGUAGUGUUGCUAUCAGAAAGUAGAGGAUCCAGUCACCAUGAGAAGUGUCCAUCUGACCUGUUGAUCCAAAGGGGACCUUCCCUCGUACACUUAGCUUACAGAGCCCUGUUUUUCUUUCCUUGAUGUGAAGAACAUAGCGUUGUUUCCACCUCGUGCAAGUCCUUCUAUGCACAGACAUGCUAAGAGAAUUGCUCUACAUGUGGAAUAAACCUCAGAGGAGCUGCCAUGCUAGGAAGGAUUUGAUCUUUUAAAUGAAGAUGUACUUAGGGACAGUGUUUCUUUUUUUUGGAUGAGAUCCAUUUAGACAGAGGGUUAACAAUUGCUGGAGGUUUUGCUGCCUUUCCAGUGCAUUGCGAGCAGGGAGCCUGUGCUUAAACUCAAGGUUGGGAUCUCUGUUUUGCUUCUCCUAGUUUCACUAGGGACGUGCUGUCUGUUUCCUGUAUUGCAUCAACAUAAGCAAGAAUCAUAGAACAGUUUGGAUUGGAAGGACCCUCCACAGGUCAUCUGGUCAAGAGAGUGCUGCUGCUGUCUGAAACAGGCAGCUUCAGUUAUUAAAGGGUUAUUAUUUGCAGUUCUUGCAGACACCUCUCAGCUGGCACACCAAAACUGGUACAACAUGGUUUGUGUCUUCCAACUUCUAACGGCACCAGCUUGAAUACAAACCCUGCAAACAGACAGUGCCACGCUCAGAAUAGUUUGCUACUUCACUUAAACAGCGUGAUAGAAGGGACAGAUAGAGAGGUUUGCUCGUAGGUCUCCUGUAAGUACCCUUGUAAGUGGAGCUUACUAUUAAGAAUCUGCUAAAAUGUGGAAUGUUUAAAACACAGGGAUGGAAUUGAACAGACAAGCAAGAAACCUAAAAGGCAAAUCUCAUCCAGAAUACAACAAACUGCAAUGUUUUCAGGGUAUGCUGAGCUCAGACUCAAUGUGCAAAGAGCACUUCUAAGCUAGGGAAGGUGCUUCCUUAGAUCACAGUAACCAUCGGCCUAGGGAUGUUCGCUUUGCAGGGAGAGGAUGGUCCAUGUUUUUGUGCUUUAAAGAGGCAUUUAAGGUUCAGUGAAGGGCACAGAUAUUACCUGAUCUACAGGGCUGAGCUUGGACCCAACUCCCUGAACCCUCUGGUUUCAGUGAGGAGGCAGCAGGGUUUCUCCUGUAAAGAACAGAGAGUGGAAAUGCAUUAUGCAGACUGUGAGUUGCUAUAAUACCUAACGUCGGUAACCCUGCUCCCAUAGCUGUGGCUGCUGCUAUGACUUUAAGUAACUGAUAAUUUUGAGUAACAAAAGGUGCACACAGUUUUCGCCCACAUCCAUGGGGAUUGCAUCUGAAUCAAAUCCAGGAGAGUCAAGCCCAGCACGAUGUGGAGCGAUGUGUCUGUACCCCAGCUGGUUUUAGAUGCCAACUUCAGAGACCAAAGUGUCUUCUUUCUUUGCUUUUGGACUGGCGGUGGAGCUUGCUUUGCUGGGGAUGAUUCUAAGCCUUUUGUAUUCAUUUGGAUUUAUUCCUAAAACCAGUUGGUAGCAGGGUCAGCACGAGAGCAGGUUAGUCACCAUAUAUAACCCUUCAUAUUAUUAGGGAGGGCAUAUUUACACUUAUAUGUAAGUACAUUUAUGCUUAUAUGUGCGUACAUCUGUACAAGAGGACUUACUGUGUAGAACUAUGUCAAAACAAAAGGGAGGAAAAGGAUGGUGAGAAACAAGUCCUACUGCAUAACACUGGUUUUCCUUCACUAUUUGGUGGAUCGUGUUCCCUGAGCACAGUGAAGCAGAAACCAGUGGCUUUACCUGUGUAAGAAAAACAAAGUCCCUGAAGCACAGAUGCUGAGCGAUCCAGCUCUUCAAAAACUAACCCAAGAACCAUUAUCUGUGCACGUAACUCCUGCUGAUGGCCAUGAGGACAGCCCCAGUGUAACUGUGUGGGUGAAAUAAGCAGAAUGCCUGAAGACACUGAGGAGCACAUUUCUAAUGGGGCAUUUCCAGGCAAAGGGUAUGACUCCCAUAGACAAAGCAGAGGAAUACUUUUGACUAAGCAGCACGUACAUGUUUUUCCUCAUUUUAUCCCAUCUUUAUCUCUGGAUUCCCUGGCUAAAUUCACCUUUCCAAGAUGACUAAGGCCCGCUCUGCCUCAGCAGUGUAUCAACAUCACUGUGGUCAGUGAAGCUCACCACUGAAGGAUGAUACCCAGCUCGUGAAGUGGCUGCUAAAAGCAUUUAAAGUCUUGCCUAAGAAGAAUGCAAUAAAACCAACAAAUAAUGCUAACAAGAAUUAAGCCUUCUGAUUUUCUACACCAUUUCCAGCUGGACCAGGGCACUGCACAUUAAGCUAAUGAGAGGUAAAAGCCAAAUUAGUCAGGUUUGAUGGAGCUUUCAUUGCCCAUUGAUGGCAGAGGCAAUUAUUCCUCAAUCUCUGUGAGCUUCAGUCCAUAGACUCACAUACCAGAGGAAGCUGAUCCAGUAAGGCUGGCCUGCAAAUCUGAUGUGCCCAACUCUUGUCCUUUUCUAAGAAAAUGACUGUAGAAGAGGGAGGAGGAAUGCAAAAUGAUGUCUGCUGCUCUAGCUCACCUCCAGCCUGAGUUCAUAGGUCUGCUUACGAACGCUUUCACAUUUAGCCCACAUUAGGACCAAAUACUUCUAUAUUCAACCUAUAUUAGGACCAAAUACCUUGAAUCCCGUGUUCAGUUCUGGCCCUCACUACAAGAGAGACAUUGAGGUGCUGGAGCGGGGCCAGAGAAGGGCAAUGGAGCUGGUGCAGGGCCUGGAGCACAAGUGUGAUGGGGAACGGCUGAGGGACCUGGGGGGUUCAGUGUGGAGAAGAGAAGGCUCAGGGGGACCUGAUCGCUGCCUACAACUGCCUGAGAGGAGGUUGUAGUGAGGUGGGGUCGGUCUCUGCUCCCAAGGAACAAGGGACAGGACAAGAGGAAACGGCCUCAAGCUGCACCAGGGCAGGUUUAGAUGGAGCUGAGGAACAAUUCCUUCCCCAGAGGGUGCUCAGGCAUUGGACCAGGCUGCCCAGGGCAGGGCUGCAGUCACCGUCCCUGCAAGUGUUCACACAGCGUGGAGACGAGGCCUCAGUGCCAUGGGUUAGUG